UGGGGAAUCUUGGACAAUGGGCGCAAGCCUGAUCCAGCCAUGCCGCGUGGAUGAUGAAGGCCUUAGGGUUGUAAAAUCCUUUCGCCGAGGACGAUAAUGACGGUACUCGGAGAAGAAGCUCCGGCUAACUUCGUGCCAGCAGCCGCGGUAAUACGAAGGGGGCUAGCGUUGUUCGGAUUUACUGGGCGUAAAGCGCGUGUAGGCGGGUUGGAAAGUUGGGGGUGAAAUCCCGAGGCUCAACCUCGGAACUGCCUCCAAAAUUUCCAGCCUGGACUCAAGUAGAGGCAAGUGGAAUUGCGAGUGUAGAGGUGAAAUUCGUAGAUAUUCGCAGGAACACCAGUGGCGAAGGCGACUUGCUGGACUUGUAGUGACGCUGAGACGCGAAAGCGUGGGGAGCAAACAGGAUUAGAUACCCCUGUAGUCCCUGAGCGGGCUGGCAAGGCGCAU
RNAcentral lists this ribosomal RNA (447 nucleotides) under uncultured bacterium. RNAcentral describes it as "bacterial SSU rRNA". It matches the Rfam family "Bacterial small subunit ribosomal RNA", at positions 355 to 825 of the family's 1533-position model. The record is from RNAcentral.